This 253-nucleotide ribosomal RNA is filed under the name uncultured bacterium. Its description in RNAcentral is "partial 16S ribosomal RNA". It matches the Rfam family "Bacterial small subunit ribosomal RNA", at positions 524 to 776 of the family's 1533-position model. The record is from RNAcentral.
UACGAGGGGGGCGAGCGUUAUCCGGAAUUAUUGGGCGUAAAGAGCUCGUAGGCGGUUUGUCACGUCUGCUGUGAAAACUGGAGGCUCAACCUCGGGCCUGCAGUGGGUACGGGCAGACUAGAGUGCGGUAGGGGAGAUUGGAAUUCCUGGUGUAGCGGUGGAAUGCGCAGAUAUCAGGAGGAACACCGAUGGCGAAGGCAGAUCUCUGGGCCGUAACUGACGCUGAGGAGCGAAAGCGUGGGGAGCGAACAGG